GAUGAAGAACGCAGCGAAAUGCGAUAAGUAAUGUGAAUUGCAGAAUUCAGUGAAUCAUCGAAUCUUUGAACGCACCUUGCGCUCUUUGGUAUUCCGAAGAGCAUGCCUGUUUGAGUGUCAUGAAAAUAUCAACCUUGACUUGGGUUUUGUGCUCUAGUCUCGGCUUGGAAUUGGGUGCUUGCCGCUUUUACGAGCGGCUCACCUUAAAUGUAUUAGCUGGAUCUGUCUUUGAGACUUGGUUUGACUUGGCGUAAUCAGUAUUUCGCUAAGGACAUUCUUCGGAGUGGCCUCGUUUCUAGGACGCUUGUCCGCUUUCCAAUACAAGUUCCACCUCGUGGACAUGACUUUUUAUUAUCUGGCCUCAAAUCAGGUAGGACUACCCGCUGAACUUAAGCAUAUCAAUAAGCGGAGGA
This 413-nucleotide unclassified non-coding RNA is filed under the name soil metagenome. RNAcentral's name for it is "partial contains 5.8S ribosomal RNA, internal transcribed spacer 2, and large subunit ribosomal RNA". The stretch from base 1 to 120 matches the Rfam family "5.8S ribosomal RNA", at positions 35 to 154 of the family's 154-position model. The record is from RNAcentral.